GACGUUCAGCUAAUAACGGACUGUUUUUUUUUUUCGAGAGAGAGAGAGAGAGAGAGAUUGGAUCCUCGCAAGGCACUGAUUACGCUAAACAGAGGACAGGAUAUGGUGCAAUUGACACUGGUCAAGGGAAACGGAAAGGAUGUGGCGAGAAUAAAACCACCACAAGAUGCCGCUGUUCAGAAUUCAGAGAUGACAGAUGUCUCAUUGUAUUAAACCCCCAACUGUUGACACAUGUAGAUGU
RNAcentral lists this long non-coding RNA (241 nucleotides) under Sorghum bicolor (sorghum). RNAcentral describes it as "long non-coding RNA (SBIC_LNC005985)". The record is from RNAcentral. Lineage: Eukaryota; Viridiplantae; Streptophyta; Magnoliopsida; Poales; Poaceae.